Molecule: unclassified non-coding RNA, 300 nt
Filed under: uncultured Ascomycota
Lineage: Eukaryota; Fungi; Ascomycota
Description: sequence contains ITS1
Rfam family: 5.8S ribosomal RNA (bases 1-105)
Source: RNAcentral
GAAAUGCGAUAAGUAAUGUGAAUUGCAGAAUUCAGUGAAUCAUCGAAUCUUUGAACGCACAUUGCGCCCGCUAGUAUUCUGGCGGGCAUGCCUGUCCGAGCGUCAUUUCAAGACUCGAGCAUCGCUCGGCGUUGGGGGCCUACGGCGUCCGUAGCCCCCUAAAACCAUCGGCGGUCCCGCCGCGGCACCUCUGCGUAGUAGACAAACCUCGCACCGGCGCCCGGCGGCGGCCAGCCGCUAAAGCCCCCAAAUUACAGAAUAAUUGACCUCGGAUCAGGUAGGGAUACCCGCUGAACUUAA